RNAcentral lists this ribosomal RNA (515 nucleotides) under Arthrobacter sp. MN04-05. Its description in RNAcentral is "bacterial SSU rRNA". It matches the Rfam family "Bacterial small subunit ribosomal RNA", at positions 391 to 906 of the family's 1533-position model. The record is from RNAcentral. Lineage: Bacteria; Bacillati; Actinomycetota; Actinomycetes; Micrococcales; Micrococcaceae.
GCGACGCCGCGUGAGGGAUGAAGGCCUUCGGGUUGUAAACCUCUUUCAGUAGGGAAGAAGCUGGCCUUUGGGUUGGUGACGGUACCUGCAGAAGAAGCGCCGGCUAACUACGUGCCAGCAGCCGCGGUAAUACGUAGGGCGCAAGCGUUAUCCGGAAUUAUUGGGCGUAAAGAGCUCGUAGGCGGUUUGUCGCGUCUGCCGUGAAAGUCCGGGGCUUAACUCCGGAUCUGCGGUGGGUACGGGCAGACUAGAGUGCAGUAGGGGAGACUGGAAUUCCUGGUGUAGCGGUGAAAUGCGCAGAUAUCAGGAGGAACACCGAUGGCGAAGGCAGGUCUCUGGGCUGUAACUGACGCUGAGGAGCGAAAGCAUGGGGAGCGAACAGGAUUAGAUACCCUGGUAGUCCAUGCCGUAAACGUUGGGCACUAGGUGUGGGGGACAUUCCACGUUUUCCGCGCCGUAGCUAACGCAUUAAGUGCCCCGCCUGGGGAGUACGGCCGCAAGGCUAAAACUCAAAG